AGCAAGCACAUGAAUUUCGAGUAAAGCAAUGGUUAGGAGCCACUGUCUACUCUAAUGGUGAUGGAAAAGUAGUCGUAAGUAUACUGUGCAGUUGGGUUUUCAUUAUUAAUCUAAGUCAAUUAUUUGCAUUAUGUUACAACUUGAUGUGUCAGUGUUGCUACAAAAGCUGAAAGGUGGCUAUAGAAAGAUGGUCAAAAAAGUAAAUGUGUUAAUUUGGCUGUAUGUAGCUAAUCACAAGUGGAGAUGCUAACAAUAAUUAAAAAGCUCG
This is a non-coding RNA of Paramuricea clavata, 268 nucleotides long. NCBI's taxonomy places the organism in Eukaryota, Metazoa, Cnidaria, Anthozoa, Malacalcyonacea, Plexauridae. The record is from the annotation of a GenBank genome assembly.